This 2436-nucleotide long non-coding RNA is filed under the name Triticum aestivum (bread wheat). RNAcentral describes it as "long non-coding RNA (TAES_LNC022053)". Lineage: Eukaryota; Viridiplantae; Streptophyta; Magnoliopsida; Poales; Poaceae. The record is from RNAcentral.
UAUAUCCUUCAUGAAAGACUAUCUGUUCAUUAAAAACUGCAACAAAAGGUUGACUAAGAUAUCAUCAUCGAAGUGUACUGUAUCAGGUACAACAAAAAAAUUCUCCUAGAACAUGCAGUUGACAACAUGGGCAAACCUCAGCACAACCUGUCUCAGUACUUGCACUGGGAAGAUCUGAUUUAUGUUAAACAUGGAAAAAUGAACUUGUAGCUCUGCUGUGAUGUGCACACCUGCUGUAACGAUGAUUGAUGCGCCAAUGUCCUGUCUGGCACCUUUUAUCACAUCAGCUACCAAUAUGUUGACAUAAAGAAAAUUGAGAACUAAGUAUCCGAAGCAAACUAUGUCGUAAUUCUUAUUAUUGACAUUGUGCUGGUCAAUUGGUCACUGACGGUAAUCCUUGUUUCUUAAACACUAUCCAAAAUAAAAUUAAAAUAUAGUUGAAUAUCAUCUAGAUCUUUCAACCAGGAAUAGGCUUGAGGUUGCAGGGCCUAUUUGAUACGUGCAGGUCUAAUUCCUUUUAAUGUAUGCAUGGACAUGUGUGAUUUGCUUUACAAAUAAAAGAACGGCGCUCUAAUAGAUCAUAACCAUUAAAUUUAGAAUCCUAAAGGCUAGACUAAUCUUUUGGUGUGGAUUAAUGUCUGGAAGUAAAAACGACCCACUUGCUAUGUGCUAUAGCACAUCUCGAAAGUAAUUUAUAGAAUAUCAAGCACAUUAAGGCCCAUCAAAAAAGAUAGUGAGUGAUGUAAUGAUACAGCAUAUUGAUAGAAAUGUGCAACGAACUUGCGAAAAGUUGUCUAAACAAUGAAUAUAUAUGUUUUGUAAAGCUGACAUCAAAGACCAUAUAUCCUCCAUCUUAGACUGCAGAACACACAUAGUAAAUUAGAAAUUGGAAAAGUGCACACUGAAUGAGGAAUAAUAAAAUACUCUUAGAUCAUCACCUGUCACAACACAUCUACUCUUAUGUUGGUACUGAUUGGCAUUAUUUCUUAAUGAUAAGUAAACUAUGGCGAGAAAGAAAACAAAUGGGGAAAUUCAUGAUACAUGGGUUCUAAAUGUAGUGAUGUUUUGUCUGGUUUUCUGAAAAUGUAGUUGGUGGAAAAAGAGGCUUUCAACUGGCUAAUAUACAUCACUUAAUUAAUUGGCACAUAAAAUUUGUAUUUAAGGUUAAUGAUGAAGUAAUAAAAAUAAGACGAUAGCCAUGUAAAAUUAGAUAUUAGUCUUCAGAAGAAUGAACACUGAAAAUUCAAGGAACUAACCUUAAAAAGUAACAGGAAACAUGUAGUUAGUACUCAAAGAGAACAUCGGGAGUCUGUAGCAGUCAUCACCCAAACGCAUGGCAUAUAUGAUGCACCAAUUGGUUCGUUCUUAUGUAGCCAAAGUUGGACUAUACUACCUGCCAUCUAUCAAUCCAGCCUGCACUAAUAAUAAUGAUAACAAUGUGACGAUUUCAAAGAUAUUUAUGAAUAAUGUUUGAAUUGUUAGAUAAUCUUAAAAUCGGCAUGAUGUCAUUGCAUCCCUCGCUGUUAUAUAUACCCAUGUAAUCCCACUCCCCUUGUAAAACUCAGAUCGAAGUAAUAAUAAAUACUCAGGCCAAUGACAGGCGUCGCGUGCGUGCGGCGUGCAUGUGUUUCAGCAAGAUUUUGAUCUACGUUGUGUGCCUGCGGUUUGCCUGCUUGUUUGCAGCCAGCCGGAAUCAGUCCACCUGCCUUCUUGGAUAGCUGGUUGCGUACAUGUGUGUGUUGCUGGCUAAAGCAUUGGCCAGCAGCUUUCAAUCGGCUACGUACCUGUGCAACUUCUCAGGCCGGCAAGUAUUCAGUAGGCCCAUAUUGUUUCUUGUUGCUGCCUCGGAAAUAAUCUAUGAGGGUAUACAUGGAAGAAUUUUAUUAGAUGAAAAUGACCUCAAUUUUAGACAAAUAUAAGUGGUCAGCAUAUCUGUUCACGGCUUUCCUGGGGAUACUAAUUCAACUUAUUUUAAUACUCCCAAAACUAGGCUAUAUAUGAAUGUGAACAUCAGGUUAGAACAGUCCAAAAGGAGCAACAUACAGUCAAUUUUUUCAUAACUCAUGUAAUUACUCUAGGAGGUCCAAAUACCAAUCAAGGAAUGAGAAAAGAAGCCCAUUCUCACAUAUCGUUUGAACAAACAUCUGCCUGACAUUUGUACUGGAAAAACGAACUGCAGCUUCCUUGUCCCUUAGUCUCACAUGAAAAAUACUACAGUCAUAUGAGAUUUUCUUGAAAAAUACCACAUCUCAUUAUUAUAUGUUGUGUUCUAAUAAGAACUCAUUUUUAGUAAAAUAUGAUAGUCAUGUUCUAGGGAAGGAGAAAACUAAACAGGGUCAACUAAUUGCAGAAGCUAGUUGUACGUACCUUCAGUAUGAAGGUGAUUAGAGGUUGUAUCCACCUUGAGUAUGAAGGUGAUUAGAGGUUGUAUCCAAC